Long non-coding RNA from Daphnia magna, 1123 nucleotides. RefSeq lists it as uncharacterized. The record is from RefSeq and is a predicted model, not a curated record. The transcript is spliced from 2 exons. Lineage: Eukaryota; Metazoa; Arthropoda; Branchiopoda; Diplostraca; Daphniidae.
ACUGCGAUUCACAUGUAUUCGGUGGGUAGAAAUUAGUCGUUUUGGAGUAUACGAGUCGUAACGGGCGCAGAACCCUGAUCUUUGGAUUGGCCAAAGUCGGCAUGGGAAGACGAUGUAAUUGACGUACGGUGGUGCCGUGCGCAUCAAACGCGCUCGAUGUCGAACGUGGAGCGGUCGGUCCUGUUAAAACGCCUACGUGAGCUUUUCUAAACCUGAUACUGCCAUUAUACGCACAUUGAGCAAAUACCAGUUGCAUACCGGAUUUUUUCCCCCUCCUCAUUGCCCUUUGAUCUCAAGAAAAAUAACAAGCAGUUUACAAAGCCAAGUAACAAUUAUCGUCAUUUGCGGAAACAACUUUGUCUCUUUUUGUCAGAGUUGUUGUUGGCAAAGGGUUUUUAUGAGAUCAGGAUAUUGGCGUUUAACAAUGCAUGUUUACGAGUGUUGGUUGAUGGCAAUCCGAUUUAUGCCCAAACACAUCCUUCUUCAAGGCUGUAUUAAUAACUUAGUAUGAACGACAUUCCGGGGUAUGGAUUAAUGGCAUGCUUCUCUUCCUCUCUCCCCUUUGUCACCCAUCUCUUGUUCUUUUCUGCUUUUAUUGCUGUUUCAUCCGUUAUACCAGAAAUUUUUAGUCUAUUAUUACAUUCUUCCUCUUCCAUGCCAACAGUGCCAGAGCAAAAACAAGAGCUAUAUUUAAAAAUUAUGUUGUCAUUCGUAAAUAAUUCCUUAAGUGGUUGUUUUUCAGUUCUGUUUUUUUGUUUUUUUGCGGUCUGUCUUGGAUGCAAAAUGAACACAAGGUUACUGCGAUUACGCCAAGGUUGCAAAAACUCUUUCCUUUUAAAGCGAAAACCAAAAACUCGAAUAGCUUCCCAGAGCAAGUUCAAAUUUUAAUAAUUUCUGAACUUUAAAUUUUAUGUGAUUAAGCGGUUCCACGUCUGCCAUCUUUCGUCGGGCGUUUGAACCACUGGCUGUUACGCGAAUCAACAAUCGCAACCACAAUACGUUAAACGACAUUGCAUUCAAACGGCGAAAAAAUAUCCUCUUUAAACUGGAAUUGUGACGUAGUCGUUUCGUCUACACACUAGAUUGUUAAAAGAAUUUAACCAAUACACAAUAUUAAACCAGA